Molecule: long non-coding RNA, 644 nt
Filed under: Androctonus crassicauda
Lineage: Eukaryota; Metazoa; Arthropoda; Arachnida; Scorpiones; Buthidae
Source: RNAcentral
CUCGGAGGUGAGGAGAGAGACACCACAUCCGACCAGCGUUCGUCCCUCACACAUAGUUCAAAAUACAAAAACUCCUAGAGAAUAUGCUUCUAGUUACAUUAGAGAUGAUACACAAAAACAUAGUGCAUUAAAACUAAAAAUUAAAAUAUAAAAAUUAUUUAUUAUAUAAAAGCAUUUACAUACACUAUUUCUAAAAAUAGAAGUUAGAACCUAAAAAUGUACAAUAAUAUUCACUUGUUUGAAAUUAUUUUAAUGGAAAAAUCAGAUAUUUUUAUUUGUUUAUUCUUUUUCUCUACAGACAAACCAACACAUGCUGAAGGUACUGGCAAGCAGACAAGAUUUGCAGUUUCUACUCUCUCUUUUGGAGAUGGUAGACCUGCAAAAAGGAUUCUGUGCUCUCAGCCAGAGUUAUAUCCUGAAGCAUUGACUUUCCUUUGGAUGGCCAUUAUCAAGGAUGGCUACCCAGAUUUCAUGAUGAUGGCUGCAUGAAGUCGGUCUUCUAGAAGGGAAGAUCCUAAACAGAGUGGAUGGUACUCCUUCAGGAGAGCUUUUUAACAAUGCUCAGGAGCUAUACUUUGGAGAAUGAUGCACUCAUUUAUAUUUAUAUAAAUGAGUUCGCAUGUCAGUGGCUCACCCAACUUUUA